GCUCUCUGACGGUAAAAUAAAAAAGCUAAACAGCGUUCCAGCUACAAGUCGACAUUGUGUAACACUGUGUCACACAGUGACAACACAAUGUUUCAUAGCUGGAAAGCAGCCUAAGUGUAGUAAGCCUUAAGAAUCUGACCAAUUAUAAUUGAAUAUCCGGCCUUAAAAUGGAAUUCAUCGUGAUGCCGGAAGGAGACGAGGGAUGAAAUUCAUAGACUGAUAUCUUAUUCAAGAUCCAUCUUUUUCGUCCAUAUAGUUUGGAAACAACUUUUGGGUAAUUAGCAGUCUCGUAUUUAAAAUCUACCAAUUUCAAAUACUAGACUGCUAAUUUUUAUUACAUGUAAAUGCGAGCAACGAAAGUUAAAACUUGGCUAUAACAUUUCGAGCGACAUCGCAUCGAGGACCGGUUCCAAGUUACAACUUCUUGGUAAACUUACCUACCAGGUGAAUUUACCAAGAAGUUGGAACAAUCGAUCCCGAGUCUCGCGAUGAAUGCAGAUGAAUGUGGGGUGCGGUCUGGCCCUAUUCUUGAAAUAGUUGCGCAUACGUAAAUAGCAAGUUGCGAAUGAUCGCAAUAGAAAAUCCCUAGAACGGUAUUCUUGACUGUCGCAAGCAGUAACGUAUACGCAAUUUUUCGUGUACGAUGCAACGAAUGGUUCAGACCAUUCGUUUCAUGAGAAACGUAUACGUUUCGAUGGUGAAAAGCAAUAGUAAAAGCCUCCACGUAUUAUUAGUCAGCCAACAGUCUCUCGCUGCAUCCACAAAAUUAUUGAUGUUAUAACAAGAGAAGAAAUAAUGAAACAGGAUUAAGUUUCCCAGUACGUUAGCAGAAUUGAACACGUUAUCCUGGAAGCACUCGCAAUACAUUUAUAUGGAAUAACUCAUAUGCAAAAAACGUGCUAUGGUUUAUCUCUACAGGCGCUAUCCACACAAAAAUUUCCAUUUAGUAGGUGAUUCAAGGUAUUCUCUCAGACCUUGGAUGAUGACUCCUAUAAUAGAUGCUAUUAAAGGUAGUCCAGAAGCUGAAUAUAAUACCAAACAAAUGAGAUGUCGUGCAUUAAUAGAAUAAUGCAAUGGAGUUCUGAAAAUGCGGUUUAGAUGUCUAUUGAAGUAUAGAGUACUCCAUUACUCUCCACCAAUAGCAUCUAAAAUUAUAUAUACAUGUGCUGUUUUACAUAAUAUGUACAUUGCCCAAAAUGUGUCACUGAAUCUAAAUGACGAUAAUAAAGAUGUAGAUUUGGGAUGUAUAAUAACAAAAAUCGUAUUGAAAAUGAAAGAAACGUCCGUAGAAUUGAUCCAAAUAUGGCAGCUGGUAGAAAUAAACAGCAAUUAAUGAUUGCAAAUUACUUCUCGUAAAUUAUAAGUAUCGUUUAUCAUUUAGUAUAAUUUUUAUCAAUAGUGGAUUUAUAUUAAUUA
Molecule: long non-coding RNA, 1416 nt
Filed under: Monomorium pharaonis (pharaoh ant)
Lineage: Eukaryota; Metazoa; Arthropoda; Insecta; Hymenoptera; Formicidae
Description: uncharacterized LOC105832203, transcript variant X2
Source: RNAcentral